GGCAUUACCUCAGACUUCCAAUCUGAUGAUGUGAGUUCGAUUCUCAUUAUCCGCUCCAAUUUAAUUUACUCCGU
RNAcentral lists this transfer RNA (74 nucleotides) under Escherichia phage RB32. RNAcentral's name for it is "tRNA-Gly". The stretch from base 1 to 55 matches the Rfam family "tRNA", at positions 17 to 71 of the family's 71-position model. From Rfam's summary of the family: Transfer RNA (tRNA) molecules are approximately 80 nucleotides in length. Their secondary structure includes four short double-helical elements and three loops (D, anti-codon, and T loops). Further hydrogen bonds mediate the characteristic L-shaped molecular structure. tRNAs have two regions of fundamental functional importance: the anti-codon, which is responsible for specific mRNA codon recognition, and the 3' end, to which the tRNAs corresponding amino acid is attached (by aminoacyl-tRNA synthetases). tRNAs cope with the degeneracy of the genetic code in two manners: having more than one tRNA (with a specific anti-codon) for a particular amino acid; and 'wobble' base-pairing, i.e. permitting non-standard base-pairing at the 3rd anti-codon position. Lineage: Duplodnaviria; Heunggongvirae; Uroviricota; Caudoviricetes; Pantevenvirales; Straboviridae. The record is from RNAcentral.